AUAUUCUGUAGCAAGGUUAACCGCAUAGGGGAGCCGGAGGGAAACCGAGUCUUAACCGGGCGUUAAGUUGCAGGGUAUAGACCCGAAACCCGGUGAUCUAGCCAUGGGCAGGUUGAAGGUUGGGUAACACUAACUGGAGGACCGAACCGACUAAUGUUGAAAAAUUAGCGGAUGACCUGUGGCUGGGGGUGAAAGGCCAAUCAAACCGGGAGAUAGCUGGUUCUCCCCGAAAGCUAUUUAGGUAGCGCCUCGUGAAUUCAUCUCCGGGGGUAGAGCACUGUUUCGGCUAGGGGGCCAUCCCGGCUUACCAACCCGAUGCAAACUGCGAAUACCGGAGAAUGUUAUCACGGGAGACACACGGCGGGUGCUAACGUCCGUCGUGAAGAGGGAAACAACCCAGACCGCCAGCUAAGGUCCCAAAGUCAUGGUUAAGUGGGAAACGAUGUGGGAAGGCCCAGACAGCCAGGAUGUUGGCUUAGAAGCAGCCAUCAUUUAAAGAAAGCGUAAUAGCUCACUGGUCGAGUCGGCCUGCGCGGAAGAUGUAACGGGGCUAAACCAUGCACCGAAGCUGCGGCAGCGACGCUUAUGCGUUGUUGGGUAGGGGAGCGUUCUGUAAGCCUG
RNAcentral lists this ribosomal RNA (621 nucleotides) under Salmonella enterica subsp. enterica serovar Weltevreden. RNAcentral's name for it is "partial 23S ribosomal RNA". It matches the Rfam family "Bacterial large subunit ribosomal RNA", at positions 630 to 1251 of the family's 2925-position model. Lineage: Bacteria; Pseudomonadati; Pseudomonadota; Gammaproteobacteria; Enterobacterales; Enterobacteriaceae. The record is from RNAcentral.